Long non-coding RNA from Bombus impatiens (common eastern bumble bee), 4132 nucleotides. RefSeq lists it as uncharacterized. Lineage: Eukaryota; Metazoa; Arthropoda; Insecta; Hymenoptera; Apidae. The transcript has 3 exons. The record is from RefSeq and is a predicted model, not a curated record.
GAUUCGGGCCACUCGUGAAAUAAAAGCAACGAUGACAUGUGCACAUUGAAGGGAAUUAACGAUCGUUUCAAUGGUCGAUCAGCGAUCAUAACAAAUAACAAAGAACGAGCCCCCUCCUAUGUGUAGAACGACAGUGUGUUGACUGUAAGACGGAAGGAUCGAGCGUAGGCAGUACGCGAUAGGUAGCUGGCCGAUCGGGUACCGGAUCUAACGAUAUUUUUCUGCGACACGGCGUGGACGAGCCGCAAAGGUGAAGGCGAUCGCAGGCGGUUUCCCGGGUGUUUACGAUCUGGAAACUGACGCACGAAUCCGCGAGGAAAGCGCGGACGAGGCCGCACAAAGAGAUCCGGCAUUCCUGGAAAUUAUCACCUCCAGGAUUUGCGAUCGUGACGCGUGACGACUGGUUUGCAACAGUCGAAGCAGAGGUCGCGAGUUUUCGGUCGUUCAAGGCCGUCUGACAAUCGAAGUCGUAACCCUUCAGUGUUAGGGACACUUGAGUUCUCGUGCACUCGAUAAGUGAUAUUAUUUUUAUUAUAUUAUGCGUAUAAACACGUUCAAUGACAUUAUAUUUAAUCGAUUAUACUAGUGGCUACUGAAAGUAUUUAUCUGCACAUAUUGUUAGUUUGCUAUGAAGCUUCUUUUCAUUAGGUGUAACAUUUCGUUUUCAUAGUAUCAAAUGUUUGUAGUCGUAUGAAAGACACGUAGGAAAAAUGAGAGACGGGAGAGAAGACAGAAGUUAGGGUUACGAGAGUGUACAAACACGUUUGAAAGGAAAGUAAAAGUAAAAAUUAUAAAUACCAUGGACAACGAACGACCUCGAAUGCCCGAAAUUUCUGGCCUCUAUACUAUCGCGAUACGGUUCUCAGUAGCGUUCUUGCUGGUCAUGAAAACAAGAUUUCCUUGUCUUCCACCUUCACUUUAGAAGAAAGGACGUAUGGUACCUUCGAGUUGGAUGAAACAUUGUAGGCUCGAAGAACAGCCAGCUAAAGAUAUUAGAUACGUAUCUUUUUUUUUCCUUUUUCUUGGCUGCAGUAACUCAAGUUUAAGGGGUGAAACCACCCUUCAAAUUUCGACCCUUUGAAAGCUAACUCGAUAAAAGUUAGGUCGAAAAGUCGGUUGAAGAUAAAAAGAAACUUGUUUAACAAAAAUUGCGCGGUUUCUAACGUGCCAGAGGAGAAUGCUAAAGUCAGAUAGAAAAAUUUUCAGAGAUGUUUAGAAAGAUUGCAUCAGCCGUGUUUGCUUCACAGAAUUUCUCUUUUACUUACGCAAUUCAGUGAAAAUACAUCUCAUUCAAUUAUAAUCUAAAUUGAAAGGUAGAAUUAAAAAAUUAGAGAUAAUAAACUUCUUCUAAUCUUAAUAAAUUCAUCUUCAACGCCCCUUAUUACAAAUCCCUUAGGUCAUUUUCAGUCCAAUCGUGUUCCUCCUGCACCAAACAAUUCUCUUUCGGAGAAUUCUGUUUCUCUUCCAUUUCAUCGCGUUGCGUCGAAGUCUUUUUUCCCCGACUUUUUCUAACAAAACAAGAACAGGAUUAGAUCGCUGAAGGUUCAAAGAUCACUGCUGAGUCGGCUAAAAAGUGAAAUUCGUUUAAACUUUCUCAUUAUCCUUCCGUCAUUUCUUAUUUCCUUCGAUUAAACUCUCUUCGAGCUCGCUUGCUUUAUUUUCCUCUCGGUUCUCAAGGCGAUGUGCCUCAUCGUAGUUUCUCAGCCAAGUUGUUUCCGCUGACAGCCUGGAUUAAUCAAGUUUAAUAGGUUAAAGUCGCGUUCGUUGUUCGCCGUUUCGUCUCGCGAUAAACGCGGUCAAAAUAAUAAACAGAUGCGCUCAAAACGCGUAUUUAGCUACCUGUUCUGACCAUGACGCUGCGUCUUGCGCUCGUAUCAGGACACAGAUGCGAUUAUAUACGAUCAAAUCCUGUUAUUCUCUUCAAUCAUGCCAAACUUUUAACGAAUUCAAUUAACUUAUUCGUAUCUCCAUGAACUUUCAUCGACUCCCCCUUUGCGAGCCUUGACCACACCAGUCAUAAAUUCAUAAACCUGUAUCUAUCGUUCUAAAUUUUAACUUUUGCGUACGUUAAACGACGCAGGAUUGUGUUACAGAGUUUAGCGUUUCUUGUAUAUAUUUCUGUAUGUUUCUGUAUGUUCUUAUAUAACCGUCAAUCAUUUAUAAUCAGAGCAAGAAUAUUCUAUUAACGUCUUGUGUCCCCGUCAGACUUCCUUGUUUCAGGCUAUAUAUACAUAUACUAUUGUCAAUGGUAACUGGUUUAUAGCAACAUGAAUGUUAAGUAAAAUAUAUUUAUAUAUAUUGAUGGGAAAUUAAUGGCUAAAAAUAGUACUCAUCGUACUUUUACAGAUUCAACGAAUAAUGUAGACUUGCCGAGAAUUUAUCAGGGAAGAAAAUAGAAUUUAUAUUUAUUAACAAAUAAUAAAUUCGAAUUGUUUGUUUAAAAACUUGGUCGACAGUGUAUUAAAAUUAAAUAUGCAAUUCGCCCAUGUACCUACAUGGUAUUCAUAGUCCUUUUAUUAAUUUAAAAGAAUCUUCCUUAUCUGAUCUGUAUCUUAGAGACACAGAUAGUCUAUCUGAUUUAUGUUUUACAGAUUAAACGAGAAUAAAGAACUUUCCCAGAAUAUUCUGUGAUAAACCUGGCUAAAAGAUUCUAUUAUGACGUAUUUUCAUUCUUGCAAGCGGCAAUAUUUCAUUACAUAUCCAUCAAUCGUCUAAAACCAAUUUCAUCGUGCCAUGUAAUAAUAAACUAAUAACGUAGAAUGUAAUUGUAUAGUGUUCGUUUAUUAUUUACCGCUAUUAUAUCAAAUUAUAUCUUGUCAAAAAAGAGCGUCCAUGAGUGUAUUUCCAGGUACUUCUGAACGAUUAUACAUAGAUAUAUCCUGUAAUACAAAAGUACGAAUCGCAAAUCAUGAGAGAGAAGAUCGUGAAACGCGGAACUGAUCUGCGUAUUAAGUCGAACGUUCGAACGGUACCGCCCAUUUUGCCGAUCGAUGACCGUAUAAUACAGAUAAACGAUAAUUGCUCGCGUUUCGCUCAUAAGAACAAUUAUAAGAACUUUCUCACGUUCCUCUUUUUUCUUCUCUCUCUCUCUCUCUCUCUCUCUCUCUCUUUCUCUCUCUCUCAAAUUACCUCAUUAUCUCUUUCCAUUUGGCGAUGAAACGAUAUCGACGGUACGCUUAAUCGAAUUAAUUAAUUGCACGGUUGCGCCUAAAAUGACAUACCGAAAUAAUGGUCGAUGAAAAUUACCCAAAAGCUUAAUCCGUUUCCACGAUGUUUACUAUAUUGUGACACGUGUUGGUUCGUGCAAAACGAAAGUACACGAUGCCAAGGUCUCGGAUUAUUGAAACCUUGAUCGCAUUUGAUUGGACACUUUCGAAUUAUGUCCUUUCUUUGUUUUGGUUAAAGUGGAGGAAAUUGAAUACAUACUUCCCUUUUACCCUUGAAAAAGAAAUAUAAAUUGCUUGGUAACGUCACGAUACUCGAUUAUUUUUAUUGGUAUUACGUGGAAGAUUGAUGCAGUGUGUGUAUUUCACGAUAAACAUAUUUAACGCUGAAAGAUACACGUUUGUUUAGCCCUGUUUCUCAGAGAGUAUGACAGAUUUGGUAAGUUUGCAAACUAAACUUUUGUACGCUAGUGAAAAUAAGUUAUGUCUACGUAGGAUAAUUCCUUUUGGUGGAUAUCAUACAUAUCAUGGGGAACGAUUACGCAUUUCUUACGAUACAAAGUACGUUUUAACAAGUACAAGGAAGAUCGCACAAUUAUGUUAAAUAAUUUUUCUGAAGAAGAUUCUCAACCCUUCAAUGACAAAUGAACGGUAUUUAAAUUUUACAGUGAUCCUAUCUUAGCUUCAACUUGUAUACAUAUAUGUUGGUCUACGCGAUGUAUAUGUACAUCGAGUUAAAUCCGAUAAAUUAUACAGCAUUCAUAUGAAAUGUUACUUUUAACCCAUAACUGCUGACAUGAAGUCCAACUUUCUUUUCCUGUAAUUUUUUUCAAUCUCUCCUUAUAUGAUGUAUUAUGUAAACUAUUCUCUAGCAAAAAAACUUAGUACAUGCUGGCAUAGGUACAAUUUUCUAAUACAUGUUUGCAAUAUCUAGAGAUAUGUUGUCGAAUAAAAACAGUGCCUAAUAA